AGCAGCCGCGGUAAUUCCAGCUCCAAUAGCGUAUAUUAAAGUUGUUGCAGUUAAAAAGCUCGUAGUUGAAUUUCGGGAUCAAUAUGUCGGUCGUGCCUUGGUACGUACUGGUAUCAUUGGUCUCUCCUUUCUGACGAACCAUGGUGUCAUUAAUUUGGUGUUAUGGGAAGUUAGGACUGUUACUUUGAAAAAAUUAGAGUGUUUAAAGCAGGCUUUAGCUUGAAUACAUUAGCAUGGAAUAAUGAAAUAGGACGUUCGAACCUAUUUUGUUGGUUUCUAGGAUCAACGUAAUGAUUAAUAGGGAUAGUUGGGGGCAUUAGUAUUCAAUUGUCAGAGGUGAAAUUCUUGGAUUUAUUGAAGACUAACUACUGCGAAAGCAUUUGCCAAGGAUGUUUUCAUUAAUCAAGAACGAAAGUUAGGGGAUCGAAGACGAUCAGAUACCGUCGUAGUCUUAACCAUAAACUAUGCC
RNAcentral lists this ribosomal RNA (469 nucleotides) under uncultured Glomus. Its description in RNAcentral is "SSU rRNA". It matches the Rfam family "Eukaryotic small subunit ribosomal RNA", at positions 569 to 1043 of the family's 1831-position model. The record is from RNAcentral. Lineage: Eukaryota; Fungi; Glomeromycota; Glomeromycetes; Glomerales; Glomeraceae.